UACGUAGGGUGCAAGCGUUGUUCGGAAUUACUGGGCGUAAAGGGCGCGUAGGCGGGCCCGUAUGUCGAUUGUGAAAGCCCAGGGCUCAACCUUGGAAUUGCAGUCGAAACUGCGGGUCUUGAAUGCCUGAGGGGAUGGCGGAAUUACCGGUGUAGAAGUGAAAUUCGUAGAUAUCGGUAAGAACACCUGAGGCGAAGGCGGCUAUCUGGCGGUGCAUUGACGCUGAGGCGCGAAAGCGUGGGGAGCAAACAGG
This 253-nucleotide ribosomal RNA is filed under the name uncultured bacterium. Its description in RNAcentral is "partial 16S ribosomal RNA". It matches the Rfam family "Bacterial small subunit ribosomal RNA", at positions 524 to 776 of the family's 1533-position model. The record is from RNAcentral.